This 375-nucleotide long non-coding RNA is filed under the name Olea europaea (common olive). Its description in RNAcentral is "long non-coding RNA (OEUR_LNC005225)". Lineage: Eukaryota; Viridiplantae; Streptophyta; Magnoliopsida; Lamiales; Oleaceae. The record is from RNAcentral.
AAAAAUCUCCCCUCUUUCUCCAUCUUCUCCGUGAAAGCCACGUCGCUCUUGACAAAAUUAACGAUGCCUCCGUCUCCACCCACCACUGGAAGAGGAAGGCCCAAAUAUCACCUGUUACGGUGCUAACAGUAACAAUACAAUGAAACCCUCAAUGUCGGCUCGAUUAGUGGUUUCUAGGUCUAGUUCUCUGAGGAAAUUGUAGAGAUACUCUUCUCGACGGGCUAAAAUGGCAGCACGAUCCUUCAGGAUUAGUUUAGUUCUAUUUAUGAAGGAUCUGUGGCUUAUGCUUCAUUUUAACUUAUUCAUUAAAUUACUUUUUUCUUAUCUUAGCUUGUGAAAAAGCCCCCCAAAAAACAUGGGAUUAUUUUGAAGAAG